RNAcentral lists this long non-coding RNA (1165 nucleotides) under Homo sapiens (human). Its description in RNAcentral is "uncharacterized LOC105379109, transcript variant 10 (LOC105379109)". Lineage: Eukaryota; Metazoa; Chordata; Mammalia; Primates; Hominidae. The record is from RNAcentral.
UUGUAUGCCGGAAGGGAUAAAUCUGGGGCUGAGUACAAGCAAAACAAGACCAAAGGAAGCUACCUGAGCAGGUAUUCCAGAUACUCAUGUCAUACACCAAGGUUGUACCAGUGCCCCUUUCUCUGUGACACAUCCAUCCACUGGAAACUUUCGUACAACUAGCUGAAAGAAGAGAAACAUCCUAUUUCAUGUCACUGGAGCCCUAAUGAUCGCAGCCAUUUCAGGAAAUGCCAUCAAUUACAGUGAGGAGCUCAUUCAGAAGUGAAAGAUGAGUUCCAUUCUCUGUUACUUAGAGGGUGGAUAUCCUCCUCCACUGAAUGCAAACUAUUAAGUAAUGAAAAGACAGCACUCCAAGCAAUAUAGAUUUAUAGGCCAACCUGGCAAUCAAGGGUAACUGACAUGAAAAUGGAUUGCUUCACAUUUUAAUUACAAAGAUACUCUUCAGUACCAUAAAUUGAAGAAAACACUAACUUUUUGUGGCUACUGUAAUUGUCAAAGUAUAAUUACCUGUGUUUUCUCACCUACGUAUUUGAGAUAGAGACAAAACCAAUUUUACGGCCCCUACAUUUUGAGAACCCAACUGCAUCUGAGAACCAAACUUCUUGGAAAUUCUAAAGGGCAUGCCAUAGGCAGCCUAGCUACUUUAACAGAGCAUUUCAAUCAGUUUUUCUCCACGGUUUGGCCAAAUAAUUAGUAUGUUUCCUGGCAACACAUUGAGAAAGAAAGCUGGUAUAGAAUCUUCCUAACAAUGGACCAAGAUGAGAGAAGAAGCCAGUCAUAUCCAUUUCUCAACCUUCGGUCUUCUUGCAUAUGGGGGAAAGGUGUGUCCUCAAUUUCAAAUAUGUUUGAAGAUUUAACUAUCACUCAUGCUUAGAAAUUUUAAUUUUUGGAUUGAUACUUUGUUUUACUCAGGAAUGAUCAGAAAAGUUUUAAACUGCACGAUUACAAUUCACAAAAAGAGGAAAAACCAGUUUUAAUUAGUAAAUUUAACCAGAAAUUGAGCUUCAUGAUAUUUAAAGGGAUGGUGGGUUUUAUGAUUACUCCUCAUAGAUUCUGUCUGUUCAAGUUUUUAAUUACUAGAUCUGACAUUUUGCAUGAGUUUGUUCAUUUGACAGGAUCUGGACAUUUAAAAAUAAAACUAAAAAAAAAUUGUUCGAUAUACAAA